UAUGGGGGGGGCAAGCGUUGUUCGGAAUUACUGGGCGUAAAGGGCUCGUAGGCGGCCAACUAAGUCAGACGUGAAAUCCCUCGGCUUAACCGGGGAACUGCGUCUGAUACUGGAUGGCUUGAGUGUGGGAGAGGGAUGCGGAAUUCCAGGUGUAGCGGUGAAAUGCGUAGAUAUCUGGAGGAACACCGGUGGCGAAGGCGGCAUCCUGGACCACGACUGACGCUGAGUGAGCGAAAGCCAGGGGAGCAAACGGG
Molecule: ribosomal RNA, 254 nt
Filed under: uncultured bacterium
Lineage: Bacteria
Description: partial 16S ribosomal RNA
Rfam family: Bacterial small subunit ribosomal RNA
Source: RNAcentral